GUUACAGUCGGGGGCAUUUGAUUUCAUAGUCAGAGGUGAAAUUCUUCGAUUUAUGAAAGACAAACAACUGCGAAAGCAUUUGCCAAGGAUGUUUUCAUU
RNAcentral lists this ribosomal RNA (99 nucleotides) under Brassica napus (rape). RNAcentral's name for it is "rRNA SSU_rRNA_eukarya". It matches the Rfam family "Eukaryotic small subunit ribosomal RNA", at positions 875 to 974 of the family's 1831-position model. Lineage: Eukaryota; Viridiplantae; Streptophyta; Magnoliopsida; Brassicales; Brassicaceae. The record is from RNAcentral.